Arachis ipaensis is the source of this 1745-nucleotide non-coding RNA. The record is from RefSeq and is a predicted model, not a curated record. Lineage: Eukaryota; Viridiplantae; Streptophyta; Magnoliopsida; Fabales; Fabaceae.
AAGGGAAAAAUAAGGCUUCAAGUAAAAUAACGUUGCUGAGCCACUUUCCUCUUCGUAGAGACUCUCCUAGUCACCUCCGAACCCUAAUUUUCUCUUCAACCUUCUUCCUACAAACGCCACCGUCACCUCCAACAACCGCCGGAGCGAAGCGUCACCGUCGCGGAUCGAGGCAGCUCUCGCGGAUCGAAGCGUCACCGUCACCGUCACCGAAGCAUUGGCGCCGUCUGGUCGUCGGCGUGGCGUCGUGGUGGUCGUCGGCUUGUCGUCGUCACCGUCACCGUCACCGAAGCGUUGGUCGUCGUCUGGCUCUGGCCUUCUGUGCUCUCCCGCGUGAAGAAAAGUAACGCUCCUCGCUCACCCAUCUCCCACAUCAGAGAAGAGACUUCACCCAAACCCUAGCAACCGCUCACCCUUACCUCGCCGAGUUACUCCCGUCGGCUAGAGGGUGCCGUCGCUGCCGGACUAGCCUCAACCGAGCCUCCCACUUCUUAGGUCGGCAUCUCUCACGUGCAAAGAACCCACGGGCACGUUUGUUUUCUCGCCGGCGCUCUUCUCGGCGUUGCGGUGGUUCGUUCUCUCCUUGGCAUCUUUCCCUCUCUCUUCAAAUUUUUCUUUGCUGAUUAAUUGACGCUCUCUUUGCUUCGGCUGUCUGCAUACAAAGAAAACAUUGUUUAUGUAAUGUCAAAAGAACAUGCAGAGAUAAAUGAUGGAAUAUGUGCAUCCAGACUUCACAUAGGCCUGAGAGCAAGAGAGAGGCCAUCGUGUGUUAUAUACGCAAGCACAAUUGUGCAUCGCAAACUAAUGCAAACUUGUGCGCAAAGAGAGAAGAUAAAAAUCUGCCUGCCUGCCUGCCCAAGUCCAUAGUGUGGACAGUGCCUCAUUCCCUUGCCUCACUCCCUUUGAUCGUAGUCCGUUUCUUGCCGUCAGCCUCGCCUCUCAACUUCUGUCUCUCUCCGUCUCUCGCCAUCCAUCUCUCAGCCUCGCCGAGUCGUCAUGUUGCCAGAUCUGAAACCUACAUGAACAAUGGACAACGUGGUUGAUUCUCUAAACAAUGCCUAUCAAGAUUUUAUUGCUGCUGCGUCGACUGUGCUUGAAGCCAAAGAAAGUGCAGGUGCCCAGAAAACAACAGCAACUGAUGUUGCUCUAGAGAACUUCAAGCAGAAGUGGGAAUUAUUUAGGGUGGCAUGUGAUCAAGCCGAGGAGUUUGUGGAGUCUUUGAAGCAGAGGAUAGGAUCAGAGUGUCUGGUAGACGAGGCGACAGGUGCAGGAAAACCCGGACAAGCUACCAUGACUGGUCUUCCUCCCAUCAGCGCAGUUCGGCUGGAACAAAUGAGUAAAGCGGUCCGGUGGCUAGUGAUUGAAUUGCAGAAUGGAUCUGGAGCCGCUGCUGCUAAUUCAUCCCAAUCCCAUGCCUCAGCUCCUUUUGAUGCCAGGUUCUCUGAAGAUUCUGCUCCAUAGCAUCAAAGUAACUGUUACUGUAUACACAUGGUGUUUCUGUAUUUCACUUGAACUUUAACUUAGGUUGCAUUGAUUUAGACUUUGUUUAUGUAUAUAAAAAUGGUAAUGAAUCUCCAUUUUAGUUGUUAAUGCUAUUUCAUGAACAUCUAUGAUUGUUUAAAAUUAGUCCCAAUGUUAUUCUGCUCAUUGGAUCAUGUCCUUUUCUGCUUAUGCUAAUUCUUCCACCUUGGCUUUGUCAAUGCCCUGGCUUUGUAAUAAAGUAAUCAAUCGUAGGAUUCCGGAGGAAA